This 127-nucleotide small RNA is filed under the name Marmota monax (woodchuck). The record is from RNAcentral. Lineage: Eukaryota; Metazoa; Chordata; Mammalia; Rodentia; Sciuridae.
GCCAGGCAUGGUGGCACAUGUCUGUAAUCCCAACCACUCUGGAGGCUAAGGCAGGAGGAUUGCAAGUACAAGGUUAGCCUCAGCAAUUUAGUGAGGCUCUGAACAAUUUAGCUGGACCCUGUCUCAA